RNAcentral lists this unclassified non-coding RNA (231 nucleotides) under plant metagenome. RNAcentral's name for it is "partial contains small subunit ribosomal RNA, internal transcribed spacer 1, and 5.8S ribosomal RNA". The record is from RNAcentral.
UUUCCGUAGGUGAACCUGCGGAAGGAUCAUUACAGAGUUGCAAAACUCCCAAACCAUUGUGAACGUUACCUAUCCCGUUGCUUCGGCGGGCGGCCCGGGCCCCGCGCCCGGCGCCCCCCGGCCCCCCGUGGGCGCCCGCCGGAGGUAAACCAAACCCUUGAAUUGCAUGGCCUCUCUGAGUCUUCUGUACUGAAUAAGUCAAAACUUUCAACAACGGAUCUCUUGGUUCUG